CCUACGGGUGGCAGCAGUGAGGAAUAUUGGUCAAUGGGCGAGAGCCUGAACCAGCCAAGUCGCGUGAAGGAUGAAGGACCUAUGGUUUGUAAACUUCUUUUAUAUGGGAAUAAAGUGAGGAACGUGUUCCUUUUUGUAUGUACCAUAUGAAUAAGCAUCGGCUAACUCCGUUCCAGCAGCCGCGGUAAUACGGAGGAUGCGAGCGUUAUCCGGAUUUAUUGGGUUUAAAGGGCGCGUAGGUGGUUAAUUAAGUCAGCGGUGAAAGUUUGUGGCUCAACCAGAAAAUUGCAGUUGAAACUGGUAGGCGUGAGUAUAUGAGAGGUAGGCAGAAUGCGUGGUGUAGCGGUGAAAUGCAUAGAUAUCACGAAGAACUCCGAUUGCGAAGGCAGCUUACUGAACUAUAACUGACACUGAGGCACGAAAGCGUGGGGAGCAAACAGGAUUAGAUACCCCUGUAGUC
RNAcentral lists this ribosomal RNA (460 nucleotides) under uncultured bacterium. RNAcentral's name for it is "partial 16S ribosomal RNA". It matches the Rfam family "Bacterial small subunit ribosomal RNA", at positions 338 to 795 of the family's 1533-position model. The record is from RNAcentral.